Molecule: ribosomal RNA, 253 nt
Filed under: uncultured bacterium
Lineage: Bacteria
Description: partial 16S ribosomal RNA
Rfam family: Bacterial small subunit ribosomal RNA
Source: RNAcentral
UACGUAGGGGGCAAGCGUUGUUCGGAAUUACUGGGCGUAAAGGGCGCGUAGGCGGCACAGCAAGUCGGGAGUGAAAGCCCGGGGCUCAACCCCGGAAUGGCUUUCGAAACUGCUGAGCUAGAGUACAGAAGGGGCAACCGGAAUUCCCAGUGUAGCGGUGAAAUGCGUAGAUAUUGGGAAGAACACCUGAGGCGAAGGCGGGUUGCUGGGCUGAUACUGACGCUGAGGCGCGAAAGCCAGGGGAGCGAACGGG